CAGCCGCCGCGGUAAUACGUAGGGUGCAAGCGUUAAUCGGAUUUACUGGGCGUAAAGCGUGCGUAGGCGGCUUUUUAAGUCGGAUGUGAAAUCCCUGAGCUUAACUUAGGAAUUGCAUUCGAUACUGGGAAGCUAGAGUAUGGGAGAGGAUGGUAGAAUUCCAGGUGUAGCGGUGAAAUGCGUAGAGAUCUGGAGGAAUACCGAUGGCGAAGGCAGCCAUCUGGCCUAAUACUGACGCUGAGGUACGAAAGCAUGGGGAGCAAACAGGAUUAGAUACCCCCGUAGUCCCUGUCUCUUAUAA
This 301-nucleotide ribosomal RNA is filed under the name uncultured bacterium. Its description in RNAcentral is "partial 16S ribosomal RNA". It matches the Rfam family "Bacterial small subunit ribosomal RNA", at positions 509 to 809 of the family's 1533-position model. The record is from RNAcentral.